CCCUUAGAUGUUCUGGGCUGCACGCGCGCUGCACUGACGCACGCAACAGGUGCCUGCUCCGAGAGGACUGGGUAAUCAUUUGAGUGUGCGUCGUGAUGGGGAUAGAAUAUUGUAAUUAUUACUCUUCAACGAGGAAUUCCUAGUAAGCGCCAGUCAGCAGCUUGCGCUGAUUACGUCCCUGCCCUUUGUACACACCGCCCGUCGCUCCUACCGAUGGGUGAUCCGGUGAAUGAUUCGGACUUCAGCGGCUCCCCUGGGGUGCGCCGGAGAAAGUUUUGUGAACCUUAUCACUUGGAGGAAGGAGAAGUCGUAACA
Molecule: ribosomal RNA, 315 nt
Filed under: uncultured eukaryote
Lineage: Eukaryota
Description: partial 18S ribosomal RNA
Rfam family: Eukaryotic small subunit ribosomal RNA
Source: RNAcentral